RNAcentral lists this ribosomal RNA (254 nucleotides) under uncultured bacterium. Its description in RNAcentral is "partial 16S ribosomal RNA". It matches the Rfam family "Bacterial small subunit ribosomal RNA", at positions 524 to 776 of the family's 1533-position model. The record is from RNAcentral.
UACGUAGGGGCCUAGCGUUGUCCGGAUUUAUUGGGCGUACAGCGCUCGUAGGCGGUUCGGCCAGUCGGAUGUGAAAUCUCCACGCUCAACGUGGAGGGGCCAUUCGAAACUGCUGUGACUCGAGUCCGGUAGGGGAGUGUGGAAUUCCCGGUGUAGCGGUGAAAUGCGAAGAUAGCGGGAGGAACACCAGUAGCGAAGGCGGCACUCUGGGCCGGUACUGACGCUGAGGAGCGAAAGCGUGGGGAGCGAACAGG